AAGUUUCUGGAUGCUACUUAAGCUGCAACAGCAUGGGGAAAAGGAAAGUUUUUUGUGUCAUUUUCAUUGGCCUUCAAUCGGGACCACGGAUCUGGAGAAGAAACUUCAAGAUAACUGGUUUGGCCAUCAGUGCUUUGCAGGCUUUUUCUGCCUAUGCCUUCUCCCAUGGGGGAAGAGAGAGAAAAAAACCACUGGGAAGCGCAGAUGAUGGAACAGAACAAUGUUCGAUGUUACUGGGAAAAGUGUGGGAAGGGAAGAACCCCUUAUGCUACCAAGGCAGGAGGUACAGCAAAAUCUCUGCUACCACAGCAAUGCCUCACAAGUCUUGUGGUCAUCUACAAGUGGCAAAAGAGACACAUCUUGCUCUCAACUGAAGUGUCACAUCACAGCAGCAUAUAACUACACUUCUAAAGUUGCCUACAUCCAAAGUGAACUGACUCCGUGCUGAAAAUGUCCCCUGUUACAACCAGAGACUCUGGAUGCAGGAAAGAUGCUGUCAAAACAUAACGGUCCAGCUUAUGGCUUGAUUGAAUGUUUUAUCAUCUUUGGAAGGCAUGACAGCUGGUGUGAACUUUUGUAUCCGAUAUCAGCUCCUGCUCCAAAUACUUCCAUGUGACUGGCUUUGGUUAAAGAAGACACUCUUGCUGAAUUUAAUUAGAUAGAAACACAGUUUAAGUGCAGAUACCACCCCUUCUCGUUACCAAGGAAGAUGGCCUGGAGCGUUGCUUCAUGCCCAAGAGUCUCCCUAGCAUAGCUUUCUGGCUGAGAAAACAAUGUGCUACAUCCAGGAAAAAUAUGAAGGCUACAUCUGUGCCUAGAAACUGUCACAGUGGUAUCUUUAUAAAUUGUACUGAUAUAAAAACAAAGUGCCUCAAUUUAA
Tyto alba (common barn owl) is the source of this 880-nucleotide long non-coding RNA. RefSeq lists it as uncharacterized. The record is from RefSeq and is a predicted model, not a curated record. NCBI's taxonomy places the organism in Eukaryota, Metazoa, Chordata, Aves, Strigiformes, Tytonidae. The transcript is spliced from 3 exons.